RNAcentral lists this ribosomal RNA (392 nucleotides) under uncultured bacterium. RNAcentral's name for it is "bacterial SSU rRNA". It matches the Rfam family "Bacterial small subunit ribosomal RNA", at positions 30 to 423 of the family's 1533-position model. The record is from RNAcentral.
AUUGAACGCUGGCGGCAUGCCUUACACAUGCAAGUCGAACGGCAGCACGGGAGCAAUCCUGGUGGCGAGUGGCGAACGGGUGAGUAAUAUAUCGGAACGUGCCCGGUCGUGGGGAUAACGUAGCGAAAGCUACGCUAAUACCGCAUACGAUCUACGGAUGAAAGCGGGGGAUCGCAAGACCUCGCGCGAUUGGAGCGGCCGAUAUCAGAUUAGGUAGUUGGUGAGGUAAAGGCUCACCAAGCCGACGAUCUGUAGCUGGUCUGAGAGGACGACCCAGCCACACUGGGACUGAGACACGGCCCAGACUCCUACGGGAGGCAGCAGUGGGAAUUUUGGACAAUGGGCGCAAGCCUGAUCCAGCAAUGCCGCGUGCAGGAUGAAGGCCUUCGGGU